RNAcentral lists this ribosomal RNA (311 nucleotides) under uncultured bacterium. RNAcentral describes it as "partial 16S ribosomal RNA". It matches the Rfam family "Bacterial small subunit ribosomal RNA", at positions 502 to 808 of the family's 1533-position model. The record is from RNAcentral.
UAAGAGACAGCAGCAGCCGCGGUAAAACGGAGGGGGCAAGCGUUAUCCGGAUUUAUUGGGCGUAAAGCGAGCGCAGGCGGUUAGAUAAGUCUGAAGUUAAAGGCUGUGGCUUAACCAUAGUACGCUUUGGAAACUGUUUAACUUGAGUGCAAGAGGGGAGAGUGGAAUUCCAUGUGUAGCGGUGAAAUGCGUAGAUAUAUGGAGGAACACCGGUGGCGAAAGCGGCUCUCUGGCUUGUAACUGACGCUGAGGCUCGAAAGCGUGGGGAGCAAACAGGAUUAGAUACCCCAGUAGUCCCUGUCUCUUAUACA